AGAAAUCUUAAAAUUCACAAGAAUGCAUUAUGUAACUUUGCUAUGCGCACUAUAACUCCAAAUUAACAAACCCAGUGAUUUCAAUUAAAAGCCCAAAGCAUAAACAGACUUCGGCUAUCAAUUAAUGAAGACCAUCGAGUAUAAACCUCUCCAAGUACAAAAAAAAUUAAUCAGUUAAAAACUUAACCCAUUUAACAAAAACCUAAAUUUCCACUCUUAACUCAAGAUGAAAACCACCGAGGAUGUGAAGACCACCAAAGAUGAAGAGAGGUGGGGUAAGAAGGGAGGCGGUAAGAGGAAGGGGAGAAAGGGCAAAUUAGGGGAAAUGGGGAAAAAGGGGAAAUGGCAAACUGAGAGAGAGAUAAAAAGAUUAAGAGAGAGGAAUCAUGAGACGAAGAUUAGAAAAUUUAGGGGAAAUGGGGAAAUGGUGAAGAGAGCACGGAGCAAUCGAGAGAGAGCCAGUGAGCAAAAGAGGUUGAUAGAGGGACAUCUGUUAUGUGUUUUUUAGUGGCCAUUGCCGAUGGAUUACCG
Molecule: unclassified non-coding RNA, 531 nt
Filed under: Hevea brasiliensis (rubber tree)
Lineage: Eukaryota; Viridiplantae; Streptophyta; Magnoliopsida; Malpighiales; Euphorbiaceae
Source: RNAcentral